RNAcentral lists this ribosomal RNA (243 nucleotides) under uncultured bacterium. RNAcentral describes it as "partial 16S ribosomal RNA". It matches the Rfam family "Bacterial small subunit ribosomal RNA", at positions 15 to 235 of the family's 1533-position model. The record is from RNAcentral.
GAUCCUGGCUCAGGAUGAACGCUGGCGGCGUGCUUAACACAUGCAAGUCGAACGAAGCACUUUAUUACAAUUUCUUCGGAAUGACGAUUUAGUUGACUGAGUGGCGGACGGGUGAGUAACGCGUGGGUAACCUGCCUUAUACAGGGGGAGUAACAGUUAGAAAUGACUGCUAAUACCGCAUAAGCGCACAGGAUUGCAUGAUCUGGUGUGAAAAACUACCGGUGGUAUAAGAUGGACCCGCCG